This 154-nucleotide unclassified non-coding RNA is filed under the name uncultured Microglossum. Its description in RNAcentral is "sequence contains ITS1". Lineage: Eukaryota; Fungi; Ascomycota; Leotiomycetes; Myxotrichaceae. The record is from RNAcentral.
CAGAGAACUGCCUCCGGGCAAAUCUCCCACCCUUUGUUUAUCAUGCCCUUGUUGCUUUGGCAGGCCCGCCUCAGGGCUGCCGGCUCCGGCUGGCCAGCGCCUGCCAGAGGACCACAACCCGAGUUAGUGUCGUCCGAGUACCAUUCAAUAGUUA